Molecule: transfer RNA, 69 nt
Filed under: Podarcis lilfordi (Lilford's wall lizard)
Lineage: Eukaryota; Metazoa; Chordata; Lepidosauria; Squamata; Lacertidae
Description: tRNA.Lys
Rfam family: tRNA (bases 4-61)
About the family: Transfer RNA (tRNA) molecules are approximately 80 nucleotides in length. Their secondary structure includes four short double-helical elements and three loops (D, anti-codon, and T loops). Further hydrogen bonds mediate the characteristic L-shaped molecular structure. tRNAs have two regions of fundamental functional importance: the anti-codon, which is responsible for specific mRNA codon recognition, and the 3' end, to which the tRNAs corresponding amino acid is attached (by aminoacyl-tRNA synthetases). tRNAs cope with the degeneracy of the genetic code in two manners: having more than one tRNA (with a specific anti-codon) for a particular amino acid; and 'wobble' base-pairing, i.e. permitting non-standard base-pairing at the 3rd anti-codon position.
Source: RNAcentral
GGAUAGCUCAGUCGGUAGAGCAUGAGACUCUUGAUCUCAGGGUGGGGGGUUCGAGCCCCAUGUUGGGCA